Molecule: ribosomal RNA, 125 nt
Filed under: Edaphochlamys debaryana
Lineage: Eukaryota; Viridiplantae; Chlorophyta; Chlorophyceae; Chlamydomonadales
Description: large subunit ribosomal RNA
Source: RNAcentral
AUGCCUGUAGCGAAUGCGAAUAGCAAUGGAUCUAAUACACACAUUCAGACUUCGGGCGGUAAGGUCCGGGGUCAAAAGGAGAACAGUCCAGAGGCGGGGCUAAGGAACUUAAUUAAUAUAACUAA